Molecule: non-coding RNA, 89 nt
Filed under: Nitrosovibrio tenuis
Lineage: Bacteria; Pseudomonadati; Pseudomonadota; Betaproteobacteria; Nitrosomonadales; Nitrosomonadaceae
Description: GEMM cis-regulatory element
Rfam family: c-di-GMP-I-GGC riboswitch aptamer
Source: RNAcentral
UCGGAACAAAGCCAAACCCGUUGCGAGGCGGGGACGGAAAGCCGCGGACCUCCUUAUAAAGUAAAGGCGGAGGUAGCCGGGUUGCUCCA